RNAcentral lists this ribosomal RNA (482 nucleotides) under uncultured bacterium. RNAcentral describes it as "partial 16S ribosomal RNA". It matches the Rfam family "Bacterial small subunit ribosomal RNA", at positions 29 to 507 of the family's 1533-position model. The record is from RNAcentral.
AUUGAACGCUGGCGGCAUGCCUUACACAUGCAAGUCGAACGGUAACGCGGGGCAACCUGGCGACAAGUGGCGAACGGGUGAGUAAUGCAUCGGAACGUGCCCAGAAGUGGGGGAUAGCCCGGCGAAAGCCGGAUUAAUACCGCAUGAGACCUGAGGGUGAAAGCGGGGGAUCGCAAGACCUCGCGCUUUUGGAGCGGCCGAUGUCAGAUUAGCUAGUUGGUGGGGUAAAGGCCUACCAAGGCGACGAUCUGUAGCUGGUCUGAGAGGACGACCAGCCACACUGGGACUGAGACACGGCCCAGACUCCUACGGGAGGCAGCAGUGGGGAAUUUUGGACAAUGGGCGCAAGCCUGAUCCAGCCAUGCCGCGUGCGGGAAGAAGGCCUUCGGGUUGUAAACCGCUUUUGUCAGGGAAGAAACGCUCUGGGCUAAUACCCUGGGGUAAUGACGGUACCUGAAGAAUAAGCACCGGCUAACUACGUG